Molecule: ribosomal RNA, 468 nt
Filed under: uncultured bacterium
Lineage: Bacteria
Description: partial 16S ribosomal RNA
Rfam family: Bacterial small subunit ribosomal RNA
Source: RNAcentral
GACGAACGCUGGCGGCGUGCUUAACACAUGCAAGUCGAACGGAAAGGCCCUGCUUUUGUGGGGUGCUCGAGUGGCGAACGGGUGAGUAACACGUGAGUAACCUGCCCUUGACUUUGGGAUAACUCCAGGAAACUGGGGCUAAUACCGGAUAGGACCUCCUGCUGCACGGUGGGGGUUGGAAAGUUUCGGCGGUUGGGGAUGGACUCGCGGCUUAUCAGCUUGUUGGUGGGGUAGUGGCUUACCAAGGCUUUGACGGGUAGCCGGCCUGAGAGGGUGACCGGCCACAUUGGGACUGAGAUACGGCCCAGACUCCUACGGGAGGCAGCAGUGGGGAAUAUUGCGCAAUGGGCGGAAGCCUGAUGCAGCAACGUCGCGUGCGGGAUGACGGCCUUCGGGUUGUAAACCGCUUUCGCCUGUGACGAAGCGUGAGUGACGGUAAUGGGUAAAGAAGCACCGGCUAACUAUGUG